This 72-nucleotide transfer RNA is filed under the name bacterium. RNAcentral describes it as "tRNA-Glu". It matches the Rfam family "tRNA". Rfam says of the family: Transfer RNA (tRNA) molecules are approximately 80 nucleotides in length. Their secondary structure includes four short double-helical elements and three loops (D, anti-codon, and T loops). Further hydrogen bonds mediate the characteristic L-shaped molecular structure. tRNAs have two regions of fundamental functional importance: the anti-codon, which is responsible for specific mRNA codon recognition, and the 3' end, to which the tRNAs corresponding amino acid is attached (by aminoacyl-tRNA synthetases). tRNAs cope with the degeneracy of the genetic code in two manners: having more than one tRNA (with a specific anti-codon) for a particular amino acid; and 'wobble' base-pairing, i.e. permitting non-standard base-pairing at the 3rd anti-codon position. RNAcentral also lists the same sequence under 1 other name. The record is from RNAcentral.
GGCCCCAUCGUCUAAUGGAUAGGACAGCAGGCUUUCAAUCUGCUAAUAGGGGUUCGAUUCCCCUUGGGGCCG